RNAcentral lists this long non-coding RNA (603 nucleotides) under Salmo salar (Atlantic salmon). Its description in RNAcentral is "lncRNA (ENSSSAG00000115256.1)". Lineage: Eukaryota; Metazoa; Chordata; Actinopteri; Salmoniformes; Salmonidae. The record is from RNAcentral.
GCAGGGUGAACAGGCCGUGGCUCAGGUGGUUAAUGUUCUGAUGAUCUUCUAGAUGUUAGCAGGGUGAACAGGCAGUGGCUCAGGUGGUUAAUGUUCUGAUGAUCUUCUAGAUGUUAGCAGGGUGAACAGGCAGUGGCUCAGGUGGUUAAUGUUCCUGAUGAUCUUCUAGAUGUUAGCAGGGUGAACAGGCCGUGGCUCAGGUGGUUAAUGUUCUGAUGAUCUUCUAGAUGUUAGCAGGGUGAACAGGCCGUGGCUCAGGUGGUUAAUGUUCCUGAUGAUCUUCUAGAUGUUAGCAGGGUGAACAGGCCGUGGCUCAGGUGGUUAAUGUUCUGAUGAUCUUCUAGAUAUUAGCAGGGUGAACAGGCCGUGGCUCAGGUGGUUAAUGUUCUGAUGAUCUUCUAGAUGUUAGCAGGGUGAACAGGCAGUGGCUCAGGUGGUUAAUGUUCCUGAUGAUCUUCUAGAUGUUAGCAGGGUGAACAGGCCGUGGCUCAGGUGGUUAAUGUUCUGAUGAUCUUCUAGAUGUUAACAGGGUGAACAGGCCGUGGCUCAGGUGGUUAAUGUUCUGAUGAUCUUCUAGAUGUUAGCAGGGUGAACAGGCCGUGG